This 1460-nucleotide long non-coding RNA is filed under the name Zea mays. RNAcentral's name for it is "long non-coding RNA (ZMAY_LNC000601)". The record is from RNAcentral. Lineage: Eukaryota; Viridiplantae; Streptophyta; Magnoliopsida; Poales; Poaceae.
UGCAAUAUAAAAUAUGAAUUACUCGACAUUGUUAAUGGUAGAACCACGACGUUGUUAAACUUGUAAUAAAUUCGUCAGGAAUUUCUUAAUAAUAAAUAUAUAAAAAAACAAGGAGGUAAUUAUAUAUGUAUCUCUCACUUCCACCACAAAUGGAGGGAUUUGCUCUGCAUCUGCAUGCCUAAUUUAGUCUACCGAAUCAAAAGUGAAUGAAGCUCACAAUCCCAUCGAUUUCAAGCGCUGGCUCAUAUGGCAAACUAAUCGUUACCAUGUACGUAAUAAGUAGGCAUUUGCCAGCUGCUAUCGAGGGUUACGGUUUACGUGUCUCCGCCGGCGAGGGCCCGGAUUCGUUAGUGACGAGGAUCGGGCUGCGCACGACGUACUUGCCGGACAACCACUUGAGCUCCCCCUCGACAGGGCCGGUAAGCGCCUGGCCGUUGGCCGACUUGAUUGUGACAGAGUAGUUCAGGACCUCUUCCAGCGCCUUGAAAGUCAGCUUCGGCGGGUUCACCUCCACUGUCACCGACGCCGGCACGUUCACCUCCACGGUGUACGUCGAGCUGGCCGCGCCGACGUUCGUGACGGAGCGGUUGGCCUUCGCGGUGAAGGGCGGCUGGUUGAGGAUGACGGUGAUGGACGGGUAGUUGAGGUCGUCCUGUUCGAGCCUUGACAGCUUGGCGCACGACACCGGCGGCUCCGGGUAGAUGAUCGUGCUCACCUUGUCGUCCGUGUAGUUGAGCCCGCACAGGUACGGCACGUAGCCCAUGGCCGUCAUGUUGUACACGAGGCCAGGGUCCAUGGCCUUCUUCGGGUUCACGUGGCCGGCGCCAAUGGCGACCAAGUUCGCCGGCCUGCCGUUGACGUCCUGGAUCGGCUUCCGGAGGUUGUCGUUAGGCUCCGCCGUCGUCAUCAGGGCCGAUUUGAUGACCGCGGGCGACCAGGUCGGGUGCGCGUGCUUGAUCAGCGCGGCGAUCCCGCUCAGGUGCGGCGCGGCCAUGGACGUGCCGGACUUGAUGUCGAACCUGGGCACCUCCGCGUUGCGCAGCAGGUCCACGUCCUCGAUCGAGGGCACGCCGGCGAUGAUGUUCACCCCGGGGCCGAUGAUGUCGGGUUUCAGAAUCCCACGGCUCCUCCUGUUCGGGCCCCGCGAGGAGAAGGGCGCCACCAUCGGCGACCUUGGGGUGUUGAACGCUGCCCCUUUGAAGACGAACGUCGCCGUCGGGCCCCGCGCCUUGUGGAUGUAGGCCUUGAUCUUCUGCCCCGCCGCGUUAGAGACUUGCACCGUCGGGAUGGCGUGCGGCCUCGGGAUGAUUACCGGACCGAACAACUCCGGGGUCACCACGAUCAUUCCGACCACGCCGAUGCCCUUUAGCAUCUUGGCCUUCGCGGUGCUGACAUCGCCGCCGGCUUCGCAGAUGAUGAUCUUUCCGGAGACGUUUUGUGCCUUCAGCACGUUCCCGUUG